This 497-nucleotide ribosomal RNA is filed under the name uncultured bacterium. RNAcentral's name for it is "partial 16S ribosomal RNA". It matches the Rfam family "Bacterial small subunit ribosomal RNA", at positions 28 to 507 of the family's 1533-position model. The record is from RNAcentral.
GAUGAACGCUGGCGGCGUGCCUAAUACAUGCAAGUCGAGCGAACAGACGAGGAGCUUGCUCCUCUGACGUUAGCGGCGGACGGGUGAGUAACACGUGGAUAACCUACCUAUAAGACUGGGAUAACUUCGGGAAACCGGAGCUAAUACCGGAUAAUAUAUUGAACCGCAUGGUUCAAUAGUGAAAGACGGUUUUGCUGUCACUUAUAGAUGGAUCCGCGCCGCAUUAGCUAGUUGGUAAGGUAACGGCUUACCAAGGCGACGAUGCGUAGCCGACCUGGGAGGGUGAUCGGCCACACUGGAACUGAGCCGCGGUCCAGACUCCUACGGGAGGCAGCAGUAGGGAAUCGUCCGCAAUGGGCGAAAGCCUGACGGAGCAACGCCGCGUGAGUGAUGAAGGUCUUCGGAUCGUAAAACUCUGUUAUUAGGGAAGAACAAAUGUGUAAGUAACUAUGCACGUCUUGACGGUACCUAAUCAGAAAGCCACGGCUAACUACGUG